CACCAUCAUCACUCGUGAAUCCGACUCCAACACAAUCAUGUGAUCUCCAUUAUGAAAACCAAAAUUUGAUACCACUCAGAGCUGCCUCCGCUUCCAUAGCUAAAACAGAUGCACACACUCUCACUUUUGCAAGACCACCACAAAAAAUCCCUCUGCACAGUGGCGGUUAUAGGAUUCGGAAGCCGGCCAGGCAAAACCUAUGUAAUAAACUCGACGGUACAAGUGAAUUUCAUUAAUAAACAUUAAAAAAUACAUAUAGUGAGGGGGGACAUAAUGAGUCUUACCCUCAAAUGUAUCUAUAUCUACAAAUACAAAAACUAAAAUAAAAACAAAAAAUAAAUGCAAUGCAAUGCAAUACAAAGCAACACUAUUUAAAUAUAAAAUUUAACCCUACAAGGCUUAGAACUCUUAAAUUCCUCAAUUAUGGAUGCAUACAAUCAGCAAAAUAUCCAUCACUUAUAGUGCUUCGAAGUCGAUUCUUAAUAAUUUUCAUACAUGAGAAAGCUCGUUCCGUUGUUGUAGAAAUAGGAAGAGUCAACACCAACCUAAUCAACCUGUCAAUCAAAUAGUAGUUUUUCCCCAAAGUUGUUUCAACCAAUUGUUGACAUAAUUGAGGAAGAGUAGUGAUUUCCUUAAAGCAUGGAAGGUGUUUUAUAUCAUUUUGAAAAUACUUGAGCUCUACUGCUAAAGCUUUCAACUCCUGAGGAAGGAAAUCAGCAGGAUAGAAUUUCUCGGCAAGUUUACAUAUAUGUCUAAUAUUGAAUGACAUGAAAGAAUUACGCAGAUCCAAAGCUAAGCUAAGAGUAAGAAGUUCAACUGUUUGCUCUGAAAAUCUAUCAUUUAACUCCCUUAUCAUGCAAUCUAUAACAUCAUUAAAUACAUCAAUGCGAUAGACAUGCUCAUUGUAAUAAAAUCUUAUGUUGGCAAGAACGACGUGUGCCCGUCAUAUAACGACCACCCAUAUUAGGAACAUCAACACAAUAGUUCACAAAAUGAUACCACACUCAUGAAUAAAUCAUCCCAACCAUGUUCCCUCAUAUCUUCAAGUUGCAUUUUUGUGUUCUCAACAAAAUUUAAAGCACUUACAAUGUCUUGAGUUUUCGUCCGAAAUGCUUGACAAAGAAAAUUGGUCAAUCCCAUAAUUUUUUUCCAUCAAAACCAAUCAAAACACCAACUCAAAAGAUAUCAUAGCAAUAUAGUUACUCUUUGCAUCACCACGGAACUGUUGGUUAGGUCCAUGAUCACUGAUUUCCAAAAGAAGUUAUUUAGUCUCUUUAAAUAGACUCAUCAAACUUGUAAUAGAGAUAAAAUGAGAUCCCCAACGAGUUGCUCCAACUCGUUUCGAAGUACGAGCUUGAUUAAGUCCUUUACCUGUCUCAAGUUCCCCAUAAUCCAACAACUCCUUGAGUUCAGUUUUUCGAAUUAAGUUUAACUCAUUACAGCGCUUAGCAGAAGUACUAACAAAAUUCACAAUGUUUGUCAGCAUUAAAAAAAAAUCUCCAUACAACUUUCACAUCUUUAGCUGCUCCAUUUAAUGCUAAUUGCAAGCGAAGAGCAAAACAAUGCACAUAAUAUGCAUAUGGAAAUCUUCAAGAAACAAUGCUUGUAAUCCAUUCUAUGAACCAUGCAUAUUACUAGCACCAUAAUACCCUUCACCACACAUAUUUUCCACUAGAAUGUCGUUAUUACCAAGCACUUUGCAUAUCUCUUUUUUAAGAGUCAAGGUAUUAGUGUAUGCAACACUCACAAUGUAGAAAAAAAGGCUCACGAAUAAAUCCUUGACCAUCAACAAAUCUUAUAAUAAUAGCCAUUUGUUCUUUACCCGAUUCAUCAACAAAAAUACAAAAUUUGUUCUUCCCAAGUUCUCUACAAAUUGUCUUCCUCACCUUGGUAGCAAAAAUAUGCAACAUUUUUUUUUGUAGGUCAUUGGAAAUAUACUGAGCAUUUUUAUGAGCCUUAUCUAGGACAACUUUCUCAACUUCCAUAUUCAUUCUUGCAAAACACUUUAUGAUUUCAAUGAAAUUGCCUCGGUUAGAUGAGUCAGUGGAUUCAUCAUGGCCUCGAAAAGCCAAUGCUUAAUUUGCUAGAUACCUAAUGCCCUCUAUUGUGGUUGUAAGUCUGUUCACCCGUUUUCGUGUUUACUCCUAAGGUGGAAGGGCGAAGUUCCCCACUGGCUUGGAGACCAUUUGUUAGUCGACAAGUCAGCUUUCUUUGGUGUGUGAGCGUGCCACUGCUAGCAAUGUAAAUCCUAGCAGACUUCUUUUUAGAGUGGAUAACUUACGCCCCAAGUUACUGACUUCUAAAACAAAUGAUUGUGAAUUUGGGUGAGGAAUAUCUCCCAAGUAAGUUCUUUUCUUGCCUCAGACUGGUGAGGACUUUCAUAAUUUAUCUCAGUAUCAAAUGGUUGUUCUGGCCAGAAUAGAUAAUAAUGAAGUGGACUGUUUUAGGCAGAACUGCCUUUUACAAAAUUAAGAAGGGAGAAAUCAACUCUAGAAAGACAAAAAGAUGGCUGGAAUCCCAUUUCUGCCUGGGUAGAAACUUCUGAUCCAGGCUGGACUGAGUAUGUCUGUGCUGGACUGAGCUGUCAACAACUUCAACUCCUUAGCUUCAGCUGUAAAUCGAUACCAAAGUUCAAUUUUGGCAGAGCUUUAAUCUACUUCAAGCCUUGGGAGGCUUUUGAGCGGGCAGAACUACGGCUUCUUCAGUCUGAAGGGGCAGAAGUGGCUAGACUUGAGGGCUUAAUAAGUUGGAAUUGCACUGUAAAAUUUGUUGAGGUUUUCGUAUUUGUGAAAACUCAAACUCUGCUUGCCUUGGCUUUUGCUGAACCAAAUUUGUAACGAGAGAGAUCUCGUUUUAGAAGACUUAUUUUUUAAGUCUAAACUUUGGAAUUCUGAUCUAAAGCUGGUUUCUCUUGGAAUCCAAGUGAGCUUUUGGUUGUUUUCUUGUUGUUUCUUUUUUUUGAUUGAUUGAUGAAUUGAGUGUCCUCCUUGUCGUUUGCCUACUUCUGCUUUUAUAAGAGACCCUCUUAGGGCGGUGGUCUUUUGUUUAGAUUUUAAUAAUGGGCGGUAAAAAGAUCUCCUAAAAUGUAAAGUAGAAGGGAUUUUUAUUAAUCAUGGCAGAUAGGCUCUCAGUAGUCAUCUCCUAAAGCAGUCCCUUCCCUGGUUUCCUGGGUGGCAGAUUUUUAUUUCAACCAACGCCACCAUCUGUGUGGGCUAAAUUUUAUGGCGGUUGGUUUUCUUAUUUGUAUUUUCUGCACAGCUCCCUGUUUCCCGUUCUAAUUUAGAAAGCGUGACCCGGGAAUUCCUUGGAAGAUGGUGUAUUGCUUCUUGGAGCAAAAUCUCUGAUCACAGAUGGGUUUUGAUCUUCUGCUGGCAGUGUUUCAGAGAUGUCCCUCUCAUAUUUUUAACUUAGUUGAAAUUGCUGACUUUUCAAAGUUGAGGCAAUCACGUGGGUGUGUUUUUAAUUCCUUUGGGUUUGAACCCAACAAAAAUUAUGGGCUGAUCCUUGAAGCCCAAAUGACAGUUUGGUCUUUCUUGGGCUGGGGGCUUUGUUUUCGACAUCCUGGCGUGAAGCCCAAUCUGUCUGGAUCCUAAUUUUGUUAUCCUCAAGCUUUUUGGGCUGGGCAGGUAAUUUCACCAUGGGCCUGUCUUCUGAUUUUUGGCGUGUCAAAUUUAGGCCCAAACAAUGCCCCCUAAGUCUGAAUCGUUUUGGAACUGGAACGGUUUCAGACUUAAUGUUUUGUCAUUAAUUUGCGCGCCAGUCCUUUCCGUUUUUUAGCCCACGUCUGCCACGUCCGUCUACCGCGAACUAGAGUUCGUGGGAAAAACGGCUAGUUUAUUAGCUAGUUACUAGCUAAUAAUCAUCAGGUGCCGUCCCAUCUUCCUCUUCCCACGUUUUCGAGCCUCUCUUUCAAAAGAAUUUCAAAUCCACCGCUUCUGAAAACCUAGCCCUUCCGACUCCGUUCUUUCGAGUUUUUCUUCGGGAUUUCCAUUGUUUCUUUCGGACCUCCCUUUCCUUUCACUCUCUCUUUCUCUGCUUCUUCCCUCGAAUCAGAAAUGUCUUCCCCAAGGUCUCGUGCUCAGUCUUCUUCAGCUCCAAUUCCUCCCGAUUUCAUUACUAGGACCGGGAUUGAUGCUCAUGCGAUAGAAGUCAGGAGCAAGCUUCAUCCCUUUGCCCAAAAGAACCUGGACGAGAAUGUCCUUCAUUUGUUCGAGAACACCCUGGUGUUAGGGCCUCAUUGGUUUGGUCCUGUUCCUGCUGAGAUGGCAGAAUUGCUGAAAAAGGAUGCCGAGGCUCCUUUGUGUUUUGAGAGUAGUUCUGCCCUGGCUUCUUAUUCUUGGGUUAGCAAGAAUUUGAGCCGGUCUUUCCCGUCCAGCGAGGUGAGGAACAGUCCGGUCAAAUGGGCAGACUGGAUUGACAGACUUCUCCCGAGAUAUGGGGGUCACUGGAGGAGAGCCGGGAUUUAUGAUGCCAUUCUCCUGUCCAAGCAGUCAAUUAACAGAGAUGAGAACCUGCUUGCCGCUGCUUUGUGCUUCUGGAAUUCUGCCAGCAACACAUUUGAUUUCCGUGUGGGUCCUAUGGCGCCAACCCUGCUGGAUAUGGCCCAGAUCUUUGGGUUCAGGCCCCAUGGUAGGCCUGUUGAUGCUGUUGGAGAUUAUCACAGGCGAAAAAACCAAGAGAAAGUGGCCACUCCUUUCACUAUCUCUUCAGCCACGAUCAACCAGAACUGCUCUUUCUCCAAUUAUCUGAAGAAAUUUAGUGCUGAGAAGGACAAGGAUUAGCAACACAUGUUGUUCCUUCUGUAUUGGCUGAACCGGUUCGUUUUCCCCAAUCGGUCUUCUGCAGUUCUGCUUGAGUACAGACACUUGGCAGAAGCGCUUCACAAUCACACUGAUGUGGGGCUUGGGCCUACAGUUCUGGCUCACCUUUUCAAGAAUCUGCACACUGCCACCCUGGAGAAUCCACUGAACCUGUCGGCCCCUGGCGCAUUCUGGAUGAUCCAGAUCUGGCUGCAGGUCUAUUUUCCAGAGCUAAGGUUCCCAGACAUAGUUCUGCCUGAAGACCAAGUCCUGGCCCUUCCUCUGAUAUCGGCAGAAGUGCCCAAGCGUUCUAUUGAGGAGUACUUGAUGCUCUUCAGGCAUUGUACAAAAAGGUCGGCAGCUCAGUGGCAAGUGGUGAUCAGAAGGACCUAUCCCUGGUUCCAGACCGGAUUUCGGUUGUUCGAGAAGGAGCCAGAAGACGAGGCUGCCAGAACAGACUUCAGGAGGAAAUUUCUGAGCAUUACUCUGCCCAGAGAUCUGCCCCAUGGUGGGGGCAAACCUCCAAAUUAUCAUCUGGGGGCAGAAGUCUAUCAUCCCAACUUCUGUGCAAGGCAGCUUGGCUGUCCUCAGCUCAUUCCGCUGAAAUCCUAUCGGAGUUGCAAUCGGGCCUCCUCUUGGAGGGAUGCAGAUGAUCUGGAGGUGCACAAGGAUGCCCGGUGUGCAGUGAACAAAAUUAAGAACAGCAUGGAUGCCCUCUAUCCCUCGUGGGAGCUGAAUUCCUGCAGUUCUGCUGAUUUUGACGCAUGGUGGAAAGCCAGAUUCCAAGGUCUGCCUGCUUCUGUUACCGCCCUCAAGGUGCUUUUUGACGGUUGGGAGAACUGGCUCAUUUUUGCGGAUGGGGGCGCCAAAACGCACAUGGUCCAGACCAUCAAAGACAUCAAUGCACAAAUCAUAGAAGGUAGAUUUCUGAUUCUGUCUGGGAUUUGUUCUGUCUAGAUGACCGAUUUCUAAUGUCUAUUCUGCCUAUAUCAGAUCCUUCUCUGACAAACAACGUAGGUGGUCAAUCUGUUCAGGCUGGAGAAGUGAUUGGUAAGUUUUCCUUUUUAAUUUGUUUCUUCUGUCUUUUCCUGCUGGAUUGGUUUCUAAUCUCUAACUCCUUGGUGCAGUCUCUUCUGUCAUUGCCGCUGGGGACUUGGAGCUUCCUUCCGCGGAUGAAGAAGAUGAGGUCCAGGUAGAACAAACCCCUGCCGAGGCCGCUCUUUCUGGCAGAAGAAAAAGAAAAGGACCUGUCUCUCCUCCGGUCAAUACCACGCGGCCCGGCAUUUCAGGUAAGCUCGUGAUGUUCCAGCUAUUCCUUUCACACUUAUUCUGGCUUGCCUUCUUUUUCCUAAUCUUUGCUUUUUUGUUCUGUCCAGCUGAGAGUCCUUCCCCUCCUCCUACUAAGUUGAAAAAACUUAAAAAAAAGAGUGAGGUGGAGUAUGUUGAUGCAUAAGAAACCGCAGCAGUCCCCACCACUACCUCUGGGACGGAUGAAGAGCUGCGAGAGGCUUUUGAGGAGGUGGAGCAGGAAGAAGAGCUGGAAGAGUUGGAAGGAGUGCCUCAGGAAAAAACAACAAUGAUGGAAGGAGAGGUGAGGUUUAUUUCUGUGAUUUGUAUCGGUUCCCCUUUCGCCCCAUUCCUUCUGUCUUGACCCCUGUUUUGUAGGAGGAGAUCCCUGCUGAGGUGAUUGCAGAGAGCAUUGCCUUGGCGCAGAAGCAACAAGGGGGUCCAAGGGCUGAGCUGACUAGCUCAGAACUGGCCCUGUUUGAAGAUGCCGAGGCAGAGCACUCUACUGCCGCUCCAGCGGCUGAGGAUCAGGCGGAGAAGUCUGCAUCAGAGCCUGUGGAUCAGGCAGAACUAUCUGUUGUAGUCCCGGAGGCUGAGGUGGAAACAACUGCCGCUGUUCCCGUGGUUGUGGUAAUUUUCCUCCUUACCUGUCCAUAUUUUCCUGCGAUUCUGCCUUGUUCUCCCCUUUUUAACUGUUGUAGCCUUUCCAGGCAGAAGUGCCUAAAGCUGUUGGCGCCCUGGCAGUGGUGACCAGCCCCCUGAAGCCUCCCAUCGUUGCUGUAAGCUUUUAUGACUUUUAGGCCCCCUGUUUUCCAUUCUCUGCCUGGUCUUAACUUAUGCUUUCUUCUGCAGAUGCCUAUUCAUUCCUUUCCAGGAUCAUCUACCACGGCUUCUUUUGCUGAUCCAGAACUGGAGGAGUUUGAAGCCAUGGAUCUGGAUGCUCAAUUGGAUAGGUUGGAGAAACUCAGCUCUCCUCCAGGCAGGGCAAAAUCUAGGGCAGUGGAGGAGGCCAUGGAGAGGUUGAAAAUCUGGCAGUCCACUGAGCUGGAGUUUGACCAAGACAAGGAAGCCUUUGAUCAGCUGAUGAAGGACUUAGACCUGCUACACAGACAGAACAUGGCUCCGAAGCCUAUUCUUGAGAUGGGCCUAAGCUUGGCCAGAGAUGUGCUCAUCUUGCAUGAUCGUUAUGAGGAUCUCAGGCCCACCUUCAAGACUUAUGAGUUCUGCAAGGCCACUCAUGAAGCCAACCUGGCUGAUUUUGCAAAGCAGAAAGCAGAACUGGACCAGAUGGUGGCAGGAUACAAGGAAGCCAAGGCUACCGCAGACAAGCUGGAGAAGCAAAUUGAAGAGCUCCAAAAACAACUGGCGGAGUGCAGGGAAGUGCAGAGCAGGCUUGGGGCUUCAUUGAGUUCCAAGACCAAGGCUACAUUCCUUGUGCAAAGCAUGGUUGCAGCUUCCAGACCAGCCUUGGAAAUUGCAGAGGCUUCACUUCAUCAGGGGGUGCUGCUCCAGAAAGAGCUUUCUGUCAAGAAGGCAAACCUGCAGGAAACCCUUAGGAAACUAGGGUUUUAGUCUUUUCUACCUUUAGCUUCUUUAUUGUUUGAACAAUUUUGCCGCGAGGGUGGCUAUUUUUAUAUAAGCUUAUUUAUUUGUCGCCCUUAAAUAGCAUUUUACUACUCUUUAUUUACUCUUGAUGCAAUAACUGGACACAGUAUUGAAAGUAAAAACAAAACAACUUUAAAGCAAAAAUGGAUCCAAACAAACAAAAAGAAAAAGGGGUCAGUCUUGUUCCUUUGCUAUCCCAGGGUCUGUCUGUACAGCCUGCGAAUCCCACAUGGUUGGAUAGAAUUUCUUUAACCAUUUGCCAUUGAUUGGGGCAGUAUGAAUAACUCCAUCUCGGUCCUGCAACCUAUAUGCCCCCAUUCCGAGGAUCUGGUUAAUUACAAAAGGGCCUUCCCAUGUAGGUGACCAUUUUCCAUAUCCAGCUAUGUGUGCUCCAAGGGGCAGAAUUGCCUUCCAGACUAUUUCUCCCUCUUCAAAACUCUUGUUUCUGACUCUUUUGUUGUAGGCUCUCGACACAGCCUGUUUUCCUGCUAAGAGUUUGUUGAGGGUGUCAAUCCUGCUUGCAUCCAAUUCUUCCAAUUCCAGCAACAUGGCUUGAGAGUAGUCUUCUCCAAUGAGACCGUGCUGGUGAGCAAUUCUAAGAGACUGGACUGCUAUCUCCAUGGGAAGAAUUGCAUCAUGGCCGUAGGUUAGAGCAUAGGGGGUCAUGCCAGUUGCUUCUCUUUUUGAAGUUCUGUAUGCCCACAAAGUCUCUGAUAACUUCUCAUGCCACUGUUUUGGGUUUUUCUCCAGCAUUUUUCUGAUGAUAUUGAUAAUUACCUUGUUACUUGAUUCUGCAUGUCCAUUAGCUUGAGCAUAGUAAGGAGCAGAUUGAAGCAGUUUGAAUUUGUGGUUUUUACUGGCUUGGCCUCUACCCACUUGGUGAAAUAGUCUGUGGCAACAAUAAUGAAAUAGUGCUGCUGGUUGCUGGCUGGAUAGAUCUUACCAAUGAGAUCCAUUGCCCAUCCCCUAAAAGGCCAUGGUUUUACUACUGGAUUCAUGGGAACCGAAGGAGCCUGCUGGAUUGGGCCGUGCUUUUGACAGGCCUCACAUCCCUUGGAAUAGUUGAUGCAAUCUUUCAUCAUGGUUGGCCAGAAGUAGCCAUACCUUCUGAUUAACCAGCACAUCUUUCUUCCCCCCUGGUGAGCUCCACAGAUCCUCUCAUGGGUUUCUCCCAUGACUUUCAUAUAUUCUGUCUUCCCGAGGCACCUUAAUAGCACCUCAUCCUUACUUUUUCGGACCAAAUCUUCAUUCCACAUGAGGUAGUUUGUAGCCAUGAUUCUGACUCUUUUCUUAGAGGGCAGAGUGGGAUAUCGUAAGUAAGUCAUGAUAGGCUCCCUCCAAUCAUCUUCAGUGAUUAAGGCAGAAUUGACUUCUAUCUCCAUCCCUCUAGUCAAAACAGAUGGUAGACUUUUCCUUCCUAUCUUGAUGAUCCUUUGGACGCAGUCUUCGGGCAUUUGUAUGCCUGAUGCCACCUGAGCCAGUUCAUUGGCUGCAAAGUUUUCCUCCCUUGGGAUGUGUUCCCAAGUAGCUUCUCUAAAUUCUGUCAGCAGAUUUCUAGCUGCUACUAGAUAUACAGCCAGAGAAGGAUUUAGACACUUGUAUUCUCCAGCAAUCUGUUUUAGGACAAGCAUGGAAUCUCCCAAGAUCUCCACGGAUUGGAUUCCUAAUUCUACCAACAUCUCGAGCCCAAUAAUCAAAGCUUCAUACUCGGCCCUGUUGUUGGUGCACUGGAAAUCUAACUGGAAGGAAUAGCAAUAUCUGACCCCUAAUGGUUCUUCCAGAACAAUCCCGGCUCCUGAAGCCUUAUCUGUCUUUGAUCCAUCAAAAUAUAAUUUCCAAGUUGUGAGAUGAAUCGAAUAGAUUGGAUUGUUAAGGCAAACAUGAGCUCUAGUUAGCAGAUCUGCAUUUGCUAUGUCCAAAGAAUCCAUGUUCUCAAUUUCCUCUCCUGGGUGAUCUGCUAAGAAGUCUGCCACAGCUUGCCCUUUGACAGCUUUCUGGGGGACAUACCUGAAGGUGAAUUAUGUCAAAGCCAAAGUCCAUUUCCCAAUUCUGCCCCUCAGCAUUGGUCUUGUUAGCAUGUAUUUGAUUAAGUCUGUCUUGGCAAUGAUGUAGAUAGUAUGUGGCGGCAUGUAGUGCCUGAGUUUUACAGCAGUGAAAUACAAGGCCAGGCAAAGCCUUUCUAUUGCGGAAUACCUUCUUUCCACUUCUGUUAAUGUUCUGCUUAGAUAGUAGACUGCUUGUUCCUUUCCUUCUUUGUUAUCUUGAACUAGCAGACUUCCAAUGGAUACUUCUGAUGCAGAUACAUAGAGCUUGAGUGGUCUGCCUCUUUUCGGCGGGGACAGAACUGGUGGAUUUGAGAGGUAAUGCUUUAUUUCCUGGAAAGCCUGUUGGUGCUGUUCUUCCCAUUUGAAUGUUUGUUCCUGCUUCAGCCUUAACAGGGAAGAAAAAGGUUGGAUCUUUCCCGCAGAAUUGGAUAUGAAUCUCCUUAGAAAAUUGAUUUUUCUUAGGAGACUCUGAAGUUCCUUCUUGUUUCGAGGUGGUAGGGCUUCUAUGAUGGAUUUUGCUUUAUUUCUGUCAACCUCUAUACCUCUCUGGUGGACCAAGAAUCCUAAGAAAUUUCCUGCUUGGACUCCAAAAACACAUUUUUUGGGGUUCAUUUUUAGUUUGUGCUGCCUCAUUCUUAGGAAUGCCUUUCUCAGGCUCGCUACGUGGUUUCCUUCCUCGGGGGAUUUAAUCACCACGUCAUCUAUGUAUACUUCCAAGGAAUGUCCUAUCAUAUCAUGAAAAAUGGAAUUCAUUGCCCUUUGGUAGGUGGCCCCCGCAUUUCUCAAACCGAAGGGCAUUACAGUAUAUUCGAAAGCACCUAUAUGUCCAGGCCACAUAAAGGCUGUCUUGUGGAUGUCUUGUUCUGCCAUCAUAAUCUGGUUAUAACCUGCAUUGCCGUCCAUGAAAGAUAGCAUCUGGUUAUGAGCAGCUCCAUCCACUAGCAUGUCUGCCAUUGGCAUAUGAUAUUCGUCCUUGGGAGAUGCCUCAUUCAGAUUUCUGUAAUCCACGCAGAUUCUAACUGCCCUUGUUUUUCUUUUGAGAACAGGCACAAUAUUUGCUAACCAAUCGGCAUGGACGGCUGGCCUGAUGAAUCCUGCCUUGAGCAGCCUUUCUACCUCUUCUUUGACCUUUAGUUCCGUGUCCAUAGACAUUCUUCUUCUGGCCUGUUUAACCGGAAGGUAGCCGUCUUUGAUUGGUAGCUUAUGCUCGACUAACUGCCUGUCCAAUCCUGGCAUCUCGUGGUAAUGCCAAGCAAAACAAUCUCUGAACUCCUGCAAAAGUGCCAUGAGUUCAGUCUUGAGUGGUUCCUUCAAAAGUGUGCUGAUGAAAGUAGGCCUUGGAUCUUCUUCUGUCCCUAAGUUUAUUUCCUGUAGAGGAUCCUCCACUUCUGGCAGGGAGUCAUCCAGUGCUGCUGGUGCAAAAUCUAAUACUUCCUUCUGUAAAAUUUCCUCCUCUUGUUCCUUUGUGCUUUCAUGGGUGAAUUCUGCCAUAUUGAUGGCUGGAUUCUGUAUGAAAAGCCUCCUUUCUUCCCAGUAUAUCAACAAUCUUUUUGUGAUGGAUCAGAUUGUUGCAGCUCGAUCCUUAUUCAGUUGGUUGAGACUAAACAUCAGAGUUCUGGUAGUUCAGCACAAAAAGGUCUAUUCCAGUCUUCUAGAGAACUGGCUAAACCUUCUUCAAUGAGUCUUUGGGCCGUGACACCAUGGGGGCGGCCGUUCUGGUUGACUCCAAGGAAAGUGAAAGGACCGAGGUCAUCAUGAUAAUACCUUGCUUCAAAGCACAUGGCAGAGGGCAGGAAUGGUCGUGGAUCGGCCUCUAUAAUCUCCAUGCAGCCUUCUUCAUUCCAUAGUGCUAACUGCUGGUGGAGGGUGGAAGGAAUACAAAGGCUCUGGUGAAUCCAAUCCCUGCCAAGUAGUGCAUUGUAGGUGGUGGAAGUAGUGUCUAUCACAAAGAAUGCUAUUUUCAACUCUUUGCUUCCGACUAUGACAUCCACGUCUAAGAUGCCAUGAAUUUUUGUGAUGCCCCCAGCGAAGUUGGUGACGGUUAAACGUGUUGGAAUCAAAUCCUUCUCUGUUCUGCCCAUCUUGGUCAGCAUUCUGUGGGGUAAUAGAUUAAUGGCUGCACCUCCAUCUACCAUGAUCUUGGAAAUAGGAAUACCUCCAAGAUUUGCCGUUAUAAACAAAGGCCUGAGGUGAUUUGCCAUUUCUCUGGUUGGUUUGGAGAAACAAAGUUGCUCUGUAGCUGGUUUAUUGGCUGUUCCGCCUGUCCUGGGGUUGUCUACUUGUGGUUCUGGUGGCUCCUUUGCUUCUGCCAAUCUACACUCAAAGCUUUCCUGAGAGAAAACAUCUCCUUCCAAAGUGCUUUCUUGUCCCUCGGCGGCCCUGAAUUUACCUGGUAGGAUGAAUACCAUGUUAAUUCCCAGAUCACCCUGUAGCAGGUCUUCCAAUUCUGCGCCAAAAGCUUCUGUUUCUGGGUCCAAUUCUUCACCAAAUUCCAUUAAUUCUUCCCCGUAUUCUUCCGUCCAGUCAUCCUGCUCUACAGCUCCGAAGGGCUCAUUCUGAUCAUCUGCAGAUGGUUCGUAGUCCAAUUGCUCUUCUUCAUAUUCCUCAGUGUAGUCGUCUUCUCCUUGUAGCGGGGUAGACCCAGAUUUCUCUGGUGCCUGUGUGGUGUCGGGAUGACUGCCGGAUGACGAGGCUAGAUGGAUAGGAGAUCUGGCUGGCGGUUCUGUUUUUAGCAGUUCCCUUGACUGGCAAGCUUUCUGUUAUGUCUGGGGAAGUGUUUCAGGAUUUUUUCCUUUUCUGGCAGAAUUGGUCUCUGGAUGUACUUGUGUAUUAUCCUGGCUCUUAAGAUAUGUGCAGUAUUGCCUUUGGAUUCUUCUUUUCUGAGUUCUAGUUAGCUCUAGAGUUGGUCUACCGCUUUUUCCUACGGAGUACCAUCUACCCUCUAUGAUUGUUGCCAAGGGCUUUUCAUUUCCGGGUGUCCUGACUGGUAUUUCCUUUCUGGGUUGCUCCGUCCUCCUUUCGCUGUAUUGUGUAGGCCUAAGACAGCUCUUCUGCCUUGUUUUGUCUCGGGAUGAAGUUCCAAUCCUGUCGAAGACACUAGGUGUGGGCUGAUUUUGUCUGUCUAGAACCACCUCUAGCUCUGUUUCACAUUUGCACCUGCUGCAGAGCACCACCCCAGCCGAGAUGGUCGCUCUUGGUAUUUGACUGGUUUCCCUUAUGAUUCUUCUGCCUCUGCUGCAACCAGCAUCUGUCGUUGGCUCAGUUUCCCUCUGUUCUGGCCAAUUCAAGUUGACCAUAUUGACUUGUGGCUGAGGGAAAGGAUUUGUCGUGACCGAUGGAGGUUUUUCUGCUAGUUUCAGCCUUCCUGCCGUUAUCCCUUCUUGUAUUACGUCCCUGAAAACAACACAACUAUUGGUAGAAUGGUUCCAAGAGUUGUGCCACCUGUAGUACUGUCUGCCAUUGAGUUUUUCCGGCUUGGGUAUUCUGUGGGGUGUUUCUAUCGCCUUCUGCAGUAGCAUUUCAUCGAACAAAGCAUCAACCUUGGUCAAAUCAAAACAGUAAACCUUGUUUUGCGUUGGCUUGUUGGGAACGAAUCCUCCUGUGAAUAGUGGUGGCUUUUGGUCUUUAGGUGGCUUUGUAAGGGCUUUGCAACUAAUGGGAUGUUUUAGUUUUGCAAUUUCUGCCACUGAAACAUCUCUCUCUUCUGAUUCUUCUGCAUCUUCUUAUGAUUCCACCUCGAUCAGGUGGACUGAAGAAGAAGGGGUUUUGUAGUAUGUACCUUUGGAGGAGUUCCUCCUUUGCUGUUCUUCCCUGAGUAACUCCUCAUAUUUGGAUGCCUUAUCAGCCAGUUCUGCCAGGUCUCCGAACAACAUUCCGUCGAACCUCUUCCUGAGAGAGAUUUUAAGGGCAGCUUGGGCCAUCUGGAUGAAGUGUCUUUCUUCCAUAGGGAUUCGGCACUUCAUUUUGAGCUUUCUGAACCUGGUUAUGAAAUCUUGGGCCGGUUCAUCUUCACUUUGCUUGAGGGCAGCUAGAUCACUGAUGGUGACUUCUGGCUGAAUCCUGUAAUAGUAGUCAUGGAAGACAUUUUCCAUCUGUUCCCAUGUUUGAACAGAGUUAGCUGGCAGGCUGGUGUACCAGGUAAAAGCUUGUCCAGAGAGAGAGUUGCCGAAAAGCCUUAAUUUCAGCAGAGGGUUGUUCUCAAUAGCUAUGCAUUGGACGGAGAACCUGCCUAUAUGUUCAACUGAGGAAGCAUGGGGGUCCUCCCCGUUGAACAAAGUGAAGUUUGGUACUUUGAAACCUGGAGACAGCGGUAUCUGAUCGAUAUAGGCUGGGUAUGGCUUUCUGUAAGUAGGCCUUUCCCCUCUUCUAGCCUCGGGCUCCAUGAUUUCUCUGAUCAUUCUUUGCAAUGCUCCUAUGUCAUUCAAAGCAUUGACGGGGGGAAGAUUUUGUCCCUGUUCUGGCUGGACGUAAUCGAUCCUAGGCUCUGCUCUGUAUGGUCUGGGUGGAGCUUCCUCCCUGCGCUCUUCCUGCUCUUCUAUGUCUGGGUGAUUCCUCCAGUUUGUCCCCGGCCUAUUCCUGUCAUGAUUAGCAAAAAGGUUAAUCCCCCCUCUGCCUCUUCUCCCUCUUGCGGGUGGAGGGAAUGGAUUAGGGUCCAUCCUUCUGGGUCUAUAUGGCAAUACUGCUGGUGGUUCAGGCAGAAGUGCCAAAGGUUGAUCAUGCGGGGCCACAUGAGGUGGAAUGGGCUGAGGUUCUGGCUGGUUCUGCUGAGCUAGUGCAAGGUCAUCUGGUCGGGCUGGGGCUUCGUGUUCUUGAUUAGGAAGGGCUCCUUCCCUCGGACCAGCCUGAAUUUCUCUGUGGUCUGGUACUCCAGCUAUCUGUGCAACUAGGGGUUUUCCUGGUAUGGCCAUGCUAGUCCUGGCAGAGGGCCAUAAGGGAGAUCUAACUGCUAGAUUACAGGAUCGGGGUUUGGGAUUCUGGCCAUGGCGGAUUCUCGGUCCUUCCGGAACUGUCUGUUAACCUGCCAUUGCAUCAUGGCUGUCAUGUUAUUGAGAGUGUCCUGGCUCCUUUGUACUGUGAUUUCUUGUCGGAGUACUGACUCCUGUAUUUGAUUCAUCGUUUUGGAGCCAGUCCUGGAACGUCUACUUCCUGUACUGCAGUGGGCAGAUUGCCUAGCAUCGCUUUCUUCUGACUCGAGGCCUUCCCUGAGAGCCAUCUUGUUUCUCUCCAUAUCUGGUGCGGGUUCUGGCUAGAGCUUCCGGUAUUUGUAAAUCUGUGAAUGAUUCUGUCAGAGUAUGUAUACUGCGAAGUCCCACUGGGCGUGCCAAAUUGUUCACCCGUUUUCGUGUUUACUCCUGAGGUGGAAGGGCGAAGUUCCCCACUGGCUUGGAGACCAUUUGUUGGUCGACAAGUCAGCUUUCUUUGGUGUGUGAGCGUGCCACUACUAGCAAUGUAAAUCCUAGCAGACUUCUUUUUAGAGUGGAUAACUUGCGCCCCAAGUUACUGACUUCUAAAACAAAUGAUUGUGAAUUUGGGUGAGGAAUAUCUCCCAAGUAAGUUCUUUUCUUGCCUCAGACUGGUGAGGACUUUCAUAAUUUAUCUCAGUAUCAAAUGGUUGUUCUGGCCAGAAUAGAUAAUAAUGAAGUGGACUGUUUUAGGCAGAACUGCCUUUUACAAAAUUAAGAAGGGAGAAAUCAACUCUAGAAAGACAAAAAGAUGGCUGGAAUCCCAUUUCUGCCUGGGUAGAAACUUCUGAUCCAGGCUGGACUGAGUAUGUCUGUGCUGGACUGAGCUGUCAACAACUUCAACUGCUUAGCUUCAGCUGUAAAUCGAUACCAAAGUUCAAUUUUGGCAGAGCUUUAAUCUACUUCAAGCCUUGGGAGGCUUUUGAGCGGGCAGAACUGCGGCUUCUUCAGUCUGAAGGGGCAGAAGUGGCUAGACUUGAGGGCUUAAUAAGCUGGAAUUGCACUGUAAAAUUUGUUGAGGUUUUCGUAUUUGUGAAAACUCAAACUCUGCUUGCCUUGGCUUUUGCUGAACCAAAUUUGUAACGAGAGAGAUCUCAUUUUAGAAGACUUAUUUUUUAAGUCUAAACUUUGGAAUUCUGAUCUAAAGCUGGUUUCUCUUGGAAUCCAAGUGAGCUUUUGGUUGUUUUCUUGUUGUUUGUUUUUUUUGAUUGAUUGAUGAAUUGAGUGUCCUCCUUGUCGUUUGCCUACUUCUGCUUUUAUAAGAGACCCUCUUAGGGCGGUAGUCUUUUGUUUAGAUUUUAAUAAUGGGCGGUAAAAAGAUCUCCUAUAAUGUAAAGUAGAAGGGAUUUUUAUUAAUCAUGGCAGAUAGGCUCUCAGUAGUCAUCUCCUAAAGCAGUCCCUUCCCUGGUUUCCUGGGUGGCAGAUUUUUAUUUCAACCAACGCCACCGUCUGUGUGGGCUAAAUUUUAUGGCGGUUGGUUUUCUUAUUUGUAUUUUCUGCACAGCUCCCUGUUUCCCGUUCUAAUUUAGAAAGCGUGACCCGGGAAUUCCUUGGAAGAUGGUGUAUUGCUUCUUGGAGCAAAAUCUCUGAUCACAGAUGGGUUUUGAUCUUCUGCUGGCAGUGUUUCAGAGAUGUCCCUCUCAUAUUUUUAACUUAGUUGAAAUUGCUGACUUUUCAAAGUUGAGGCAAUCACGUGGGUGUGUUUUUAAUUCCUUUGGGUUUGAACCCAACAAAAAUUAUGGGCUGAUCCUUGAAGCCCAAAUGACAGUUUGGUCUUUCUUGGGCUGGGGGCUUUGUUUUCGACAUCCCGACGUGAAGCCCAAUCUGUCUGGAUCCUAAUUUUGUUAUCCUCAAGCUUUUUGGGCUGGGCAGGUAAUUUCACCAUGGGCCUGUCUUCUGAUUUUUGGCGUGUCAAAUUUAGGCCCAAACAAAGUCGCAACCGAUUGUCCAUCACUUGUUGAUUUGAUUGCUUUUCUACCACUUCUUCAAUAUGAACACAUGAAUUUUUUAAGCUAAUCCACUUUUGCAUAGAAAGAUGAUGCGGUGAAUUUAGUUUGUCUACAUGAGGUUGAAAUGCACAAUGAUUCCCACCAAUUCUCUUCCAACAUUGAAACCCAUCAAUAGUAAAGGCCGGAAAUGAUUAAGUUCUAUCAAACAAGAAACAAGGAAAACAAAAUGCCUUGUUUUUAGCAACUGAAUACUCAAGCCAAGAGAAUUGGCCAAACCACUUUUUAUUAAAUCAACGUAAGAUUUUCCCUUCUAAGUGGCUUGGAUAAUCUUCUAACUCAGGUUGACAUGGCCCUAAAAGAAUAUAUGCUCUUCGCACAUUAUCUUGUUCAUUCACCGAAUAUUUGCACAUUAGACGACGUAAUCCUAGAUCACGUUCAAGAUAAUUGAUAUUAAAAUCUUGAUCAUCAUUGACUCUUUGACUCUCAACUCUUUCAACUUGAGGCUCAACAAUGGGAGACUCGGGAAGAUUUUGCUCAUCACAAAUUAGAGUAGAAAAAGAAGUGCUAGGCAUCGUAUUAGAUGAUGACCCAUCAUUCUUUUUCUUAAAAAAAAGAAAACAAGUUCUUUAUUUUCUUGGGGCUCGGAUUGUGAUCCGACAUAAUAAAAGAUAAAUAAUAUGUAGAAAUGAUUUUAGUCAAACAUGUCAACAACAACAAAACUAAUUAUCAUAAUAUAAUCAAUGCAUUUAAUCAAACAUACCAACACAACACACAAAUCAAACAUCUCAACAAUACCAACAACAAAUUAAAUAUCUCAACAAAAUUCCUAAAAUCAAAGCCCUAAUUAAUUUCAACAAAAUCUCCCAAUUAGAAUUCAUUCCUAAUUAAACCUUAGAAUAUUUUCUAUUCAAAUUAAAGAGCAUAAGAUAACUAAAAAUGAGAGAAUGGGAGAAGAAUACUUGUUGCCAAGAAGAGAAGUUGCUCCUGCAAAGAAGUUGAGAGUUGAAUUGAUGGUAGCUGAAGGUUGAGACGGAGAGAAGUUGAAGUGUUGAUAUUUUGCAGAGAGAGUUUCUGUUAUGACUGCUGAGAGCUGAGUCUGCACAUGAUCCCUUUUAAUUUUUGGUUGCUGCAUAUGUUGUUUAAGUGGGCUAGUUGCUUUCUUCUUUUUUUUGCCAAAAUUUUGGGCCUGGCAUGAGCCCAGCCAGCCCAUAGCUGGAAACGCCACUGCCU
This 17876-nucleotide long non-coding RNA is filed under the name Prunus persica (peach). RNAcentral's name for it is "long non-coding RNA (PPER_LNC004758)". The record is from RNAcentral. Lineage: Eukaryota; Viridiplantae; Streptophyta; Magnoliopsida; Rosales; Rosaceae.